CCCUGCUGCAGGGGUCUGGCCACUCCCCUGCAGUGGGCAGCCUUGGAUGUGCACCACUCCUCACAGGUGCAGCCUUGGCCAUGUGCACACCAGGAGGGACGACCGUUGUGGGAGCAGAGUCUUCCCCUCUCCUGCCCUGAUCACACCCAGCUGUUGGGCUCCACGGCUUGAGCUUUGCUGACAGCAGUGCCUUGGCACAGAACUGUCUCCAGUCUGAUCCAAUUAAAUGUGGGCCUCUUCACAGGGGGAGUUUUUGAGGUCAGGAUUUGAGACAUGAAGAUCUUCGGAAGGCCAGCCUCUCCCUGUGGGCAAAAUCCCUGAGUCCAGCGCCAUAGCCAGGGAUGAGGGCACACCGUGCUCCUCCAAGUGGCUUCACUAGCAGCAGCACCGGCCUGGAACUUCACCUUUGUGGCACUUGCCUGGUGGGACUGAGGACAGCUGGCGGCCUGCCCCUCCCAGGAAGACGCCCCAACCCUGAUGGAGAGCUGACGCAAGCAGAGCCGUGUUUCUGGGCCGCACGCACCUGGAAUGGAGUCUCUGUCACGCUGAGUGGAGAGGGAGGGGAAGGAAGUGGCUCGUGACUCCAAGGCCACAGACUGCUGCUGUCCUUGGAGAUUUUUGACAGAUUUUCUUGAGUAAUUCCCUGCACUUGCUGCACGCCCUUUGAACAAGGCAAAGACCUGACCUGCUUGCUCUUGUCUUAUUUCCCA
Oryctolagus cuniculus (rabbit) is the source of this 710-nucleotide non-coding RNA. NCBI's taxonomy places the organism in Eukaryota, Metazoa, Chordata, Mammalia, Lagomorpha, Leporidae. The record is from RefSeq and is a predicted model, not a curated record.